RNAcentral lists this long non-coding RNA (346 nucleotides) under Zostera marina. RNAcentral's name for it is "long non-coding RNA (ZMAR_LNC003281)". The record is from RNAcentral. Lineage: Eukaryota; Viridiplantae; Streptophyta; Magnoliopsida; Alismatales; Zosteraceae.
GUAAAUGCAGUAAUAUCAUUGCGAAAUAGAUCUGAAGUGGCAUUUGUACUUAAAGGUAUAUCUUGGGAUCCUCCGGAUGAUGCCCUUAUCUUCAUUGGUGCCUCACCAAGUUUAAACUGUUUUGUGGCUUCUUUUAUUUUGUCAACAUCAACAGUAGUGGAUGCAACUGGUCUGUCACGAAUUUUUAUCAGGAUUUUUUUAGACUUAGAUAUGCUUUCAUCUUCAUCACUACUACUUCCAUUUGCAGUACUAUAAAGAGAUUUCUUAAACUCCUCUGCUGCUUUGACCUGCUCAUCUCCUGUGGUAGUAGAUGUACCAGAAGCUAGUUGCUUACUUAAGGUGUCCG